UACGUAGGGGGCAAGCGUUAUCCGGAUUUACUGGGCGUAAAGCGUGUUCAGGCGGCUCAGCAAGUCGGGCAUGAAAUCUCUCGGCUCAACCGGGAGAGGCUGUCCGAUACUGCUGGGCUUGAGGGCAGUAGAGGGUGGUGGAAUUCCGGGUGUAGUGGUGAAAUGCGUAGAUAUCCGGAGGAACACCAGUGGCGAAAGCGGCCACCUGGACUGUACCUGACGCUCAAACACGAAAGCUAGGGGAGCGAACGGG
Molecule: ribosomal RNA, 253 nt
Filed under: uncultured bacterium
Lineage: Bacteria
Description: partial 16S ribosomal RNA
Rfam family: Bacterial small subunit ribosomal RNA
Source: RNAcentral